AUCUGUUUAAAGAAGGGAGAAGGGACCACACAGAAUCUAAGACUUGAGCAGAAGAACUUGGUCAAGCAACUGCUCAGACUCACUUAACUGGACACUUUUGGAAUGUGAAGCCCGGGGGAUUCACCAGCAGCAUCACUUUGUUCUCCUUUUCAGGCAAGUCUGGCCCAUAUAUGGGCACCUGGUGUUUGAGGGAUUCUGGGGGGACUGGUCCCCUUUUCCCUUUGGAGCCCCAGAGCCUUAUCUAAAUGACACGGAUCCAUCAUGAUUUGAAAGCAAUUCUGUUCAUCAAAACAGAGGAUGAGAUGGUUGGAUGGCACCACCGACUAAAUGGACAAGAGUCUGAGUAAACUCCAGGAGUUGGUGAUGGACAGGGAGGCCUGGAGAGCUGCAGUCCAUGGGGUCGCAAAGAGUCGGACACGACUGAGCGACUGAAUUGAACUGAACUAUUCAUCAAUCACAUUAUCAGAGAAAAAAUACUUUCUGGUGAUGGAGUAACGCAGUGUCAUUUUCAAAAAGAACUUUCCUGCAGUGCUUUCCUCAGAGGCACCGGAGGUACUUGACCAGAUUUGCGUCUCAACUUGACAGCAUAUUUACUUAGAAGAGAAGCACCACUAUUACCAAUUCCA
Long non-coding RNA from Bos taurus (domestic cattle), 626 nucleotides. The record is from Ensembl. NCBI's taxonomy places the organism in Eukaryota, Metazoa, Chordata, Mammalia, Artiodactyla, Bovidae.